RNAcentral lists this ribosomal RNA (537 nucleotides) under Triticum aestivum (bread wheat). RNAcentral describes it as "partial small subunit ribosomal RNA". Lineage: Eukaryota; Viridiplantae; Streptophyta; Magnoliopsida; Poales; Poaceae. The record is from RNAcentral.
AUGGAACUAGCACACAAGCUUCUUCGCACCACCAAAAAAUUCAAUUACCAACACAUUUUCAGCAAAAGCACAUCCCAUCAGAAGAAAUAAAACAUCAUGAUCACUCCUACGAGCCUAGUUCAAUAGGCAAAGAAGUGGCAGCAGAUGGCAGCCGUCGGGAAGCGGAGGCCAGCGACGAUGGGGGCAAUCCACGACCCUAACCUGCGGGGCUCAUCGGCCAUCGCAGGCAAGGGCCACUGCAUCGUCUACACAAACGGUGGAGAGCGGUUCGAGGACCCACUGGCCUACCCCGGUACCACGGUGUUCGGAGAACUCCUGAGGAUGUCCGAGGACGAGUUCAGGUUCACGAGUGAAGACAUGAUCACGGUACCUUGCGAUGCGGGGGUAAUGGCGUAUGUGAUAUGCUUGCUCAGGAGAAAGCCAUCCGAAGAAGUGGAGAGGGCGGUCCUCAAUUCUACAGUAAUACCAUGCAGCAACCAGAGUAGCGUUCCCAUGGUUAACAAGAGUCUAGGCCAGUCACUGGCUAUUUUUAGCUAG